UCCCUCAUCUGCUCUAAUGAUGGCCCCUCUUCUCUACUCUCUCCUCUAUCUGACAUGUCCAAAGGAAAUAAUCUCACCAAGCAUCACGUGGCCGGUCGCUCUCCUCACUCCACGCCGUGCAGUUUUCAGGUGCUGCAGGCUGCACCAUGAUGACACCAGGAGACUCGCAGCUGGACGGCUCAAGCUCCCGUUUCCUGCCCAGAGUCCAGGACCUUUCCUCUUCCACCAGGACACACCGUCAGCACUGGUUUCACAUGUUUCAAAUCUAUAUCUCUCCAGUAGGAAUACAAAUGCCUCAGCAUGUGUCAGUGUCUCCUGUAGAUGUACAUUACAUGUAUCCUGGAAGCAGAGCCCAUUUCAAACAAGGAUCCGGUGAAACAGUGGGAGGUCAGUUUCCACUCUCUUCUUUGUGCCCACUAUUCAAAACAACUUGCUGAACCUGUUCUCAAAAACAUGUGAUGUAUAAAAGUUACAAUCACAAAUAUCUUUCUUUCAAAUCAGUGGAUGGUGAUGAGCGUGUCUGUGAGAGCUGCAGUGGUGCCAAGUCCAACCACAAGAGGGCGCUGAGGAGCAGCACACAGCACAGGCAAACUGGUAUCGCAUGUAAUACUUGCACUCGUGCUGUACUGAAUACUGUGCAUGUAAAUAACAGUUUGUGAUUCAUAAAAGGAUCAACUGAUUUUAAAUCAAACUUCUCUGUCCUUGCAGGGAAAUGUAUUUUGCACGCAAUGAUAUUUCUCUCCUGAAGGCUGAUUACAACUGAAAUAUCUGUUAAAGUCAUUUAAUAUAAAAUGUUUAAGCACCUGUAAGUAAAACGUGUCUUAAUGCACAAUAAUACACUAUUUUAUAAAGUAUGAUUUAAAAAAAUAUAAAUAAUAAUUACUAAGUGGUUUACAUGGUUUAACCGAGAUUACAACAUUUCAGGACUGCAAUGAGGCAAAUAAAAUCAUUUAAAAUAAUUUAAAAAAAAGGAAAUGUAGUAAAAUACCCUACAAUUUGUUUGUAUAUUAAUAAUUAAGAUAGUCCUAACAGUAAAAUUGUUCUUAAUACUACAGUGCACGUGUUUAGAGCUUUGUUACCCUUUGUUUUAUUUGCAGACUAAAUCUGCAGAUGCAUUUAAAGUAUCAAAGUGCUCUUUCCAUUUCUUUUAAAUGAGUCGUGUAAUAAAACUCAGCUGGAUGCUGGAGUAUGUACACAAUUAGAUCUAUAUGUAAUAUUCAUUGAAUAAAUUGUUUCCAGGUGUAACGAUAACAUAACAAAAACGACAUAUUUUAGGGAAUUCUUUGAAUUUGUCUGAAUCUUUUGCCUUUUUUCCUCCGAUGGUGGAUAAUGUACUUUGCUGCGCUCCUGUUUGAUGUUAUUACCAGUAAUCAUGUCACAUUAAAUGCCAAUUUUGUAGCGUAGUACUGCCUGAUAAUCAUGACAUUGUUUGGACACAUGUUGGCUGAAAGCUCAGCGGUCUGUCUGAUGCUUUCAUCGUAUAACUUUCAUCUUUGCAACAUGUGACCUGAAUGUAUUCUAGUAGUCAUAAUGUGGCCGGUGAAAUCAAACGACCGCUACAUUUUCUUUCUAUUUGUGGUUUCUUUUUCAACCCUGCACGACAACAUCUGUCAACACCACUCUUUUAAAAAAAAAAAUUUGUAUUAAAUGCUUAACUUACACAGGCGGCUCAUGUAGUGUUGAUGUCGGUCGUGAUCUCUCCGCCUGGAAGCUUUCAUUUUACUCUUCUGUUGGACAAAGUUGCGUGUCCUUUUAUUGGAGAAGCUGCAUUCCCUCCAAUGUGUUUCUAAUACAACUGUAAAACAACAAGGAUCUGGGAACAUUUUUGCAAUCAGAGAACUUAAGAAAUGCUUAGAUUUGUUUGCUAUUACCUAAUUUGUAAAUGGAUAAAAAAAAACCCUUGCAUGUUAUGUAAAACAGGUGGUUGCUGUUUGCUAACAAAAGGUUCCCUGGUGUGCAUCUUGGACCUUUAGGCUACAAGGAUGCUCCACAAUGAUAAAUGUGUGAGCUGGUAAAUGCCUGUUGGAAUUUCUGGAUGUCUUUCUCUCUUUACACGGAUCUUUUGUCUUGACCUUAAUUCCUUAAAUGCAGCAGGUUAAUUUGCAAUUUAUUGGUGAGUUUCCCUUCACUGCAGAACACCAGUCUGCUGCCAACACUCGUGUCAAAGACAAGCGAGGGAAGCUUGGGGAAACAAAAACAUUGCAUUUGGAUUCAUGGCAACCGGGAUCAUUUUCCAAUCUGCUCUUUUUUUUUUUUGUUGCCAAACUCUUGUUUUAGAGCCAAAGCCUUGUUUUGUCUUGUUGGACUGAAGCAAAGACGUGCUCUGUGUAGAUUUGUGAAGAAGAACAUUUACAUUUGUGUUUGUUUUUAAUGCUAUAUGUUGAUACAGUUGAUAAGAGAAGCGUCUGUCCAUCUUUUCCUUCCUCUCCAUACUGCUGUAUACAUCGGUGAAUGUCAGAGGGGGAAGGAACAUGAUCUCCUUGACGAUCUACUCGGAUGACGGGGGCAACCCCCCUGAUAUGGACAGGACAUUUGAGAUACAUCUCCACGUUAAUAGAGGAUCUUCUUACAGCCUCUGAACCUUGAUAUCCCCAAGUAAAACACACGGAGAACUGUACUAGUAACCUCCGCGGAGGAGGUCAUGUGUUUGGUUCGGUUUGUUUGUCAGCAGGAUUAAACUCCUAAUCUGAUUUUCAUACAACUUGGUCAACGCAGAACCUAUUCAUCUUUAGAGCGGUGGCCUUAUACUCCUAAUGCUGCUUUUGUGGAAGGUCUUUUUGCAACUGUUUACACAACAGUGUCAUCGGCAUACAUGUGAUCAGGAGUAAAUUGUAGGGGGUCCUAACACUGAUCUCUGUGGUACACCCAUUUUCUUCCAUUGACAUGUUUUGUCGAUGUGGUGCAGCCGUAUGUCAGAUCCUCAGAGAGCACAUCAUCUCAUGUGUGGUACCUGAACAUGCAAUUAAAGUUGUUGUUUUAAAGAGCAUUCGUGGUGUUUUGUUUGCAUCUGUAAUCGAGAAAUAAAUGUAGAUUGUGGAUGCAAAUACACAGUCUGCAUACAUGAAUAAAUAAAUGUUCUAUCUAUUGCAUCUUCACAUUCCUAUCUGAUUA
RNAcentral lists this long non-coding RNA (3111 nucleotides) under Cottoperca gobio. RNAcentral describes it as "lncRNA (ENSCGOG00000009813.1)". Lineage: Eukaryota; Metazoa; Chordata; Actinopteri; Perciformes; Bovichtidae. The record is from RNAcentral.